Non-coding RNA from Paramuricea clavata, 792 nucleotides. The record is from the annotation of a GenBank genome assembly. NCBI's taxonomy places the organism in Eukaryota, Metazoa, Cnidaria, Anthozoa, Malacalcyonacea, Plexauridae.
AAUUGGUAAAGAUGCAUCACAUAACUAAUCGAUUGAAAAAUAAUCCAGGAUUAGUAUCUGGUUAAGGUACAACGUGUGUUGAGACAAGUGAGAAAGACGUGUAUUAUUUAACAAUUAUUUGCCGAAGGCAAGGUGAUUAUCGGUAAAUAAAAACCAAGACGAAGUCGAGGUUUUUAUUCAUGAUAAUCACCGAGCCUGAGAUGAAUAAUUGUUUUAGUAUAAUUUCUUAGGUGGUUAUUCGGAAAAAAUGCACAUUUCUUCGUCAUUUAGUUGACAAAACAGCUUCGGCCGUCAUUUAGAGAAUCGGGUAAUUAUCGCGUUAUAAUCUCCUCCACGGCAAACAAUCAGCGUGGAGAAUUUUCAAUAAUCACCUAUGUAAUUAUACUAUACACUUAAUGUCUGCUCCCGAGGGAAAUAGUUAGUUUUGUUUUCCCGAGAAUCUCAAUGUUUCCCGAGACGAAGUCGAGGGAAACAUUAAGAUUCGAGGGAAAGCAAAACUAACUAUUUCCCGAGGGAACAGGCAUUAAGUGUUUUGUUAUAUAGCGACGAACGAAAAUCAACUUCAACAACAUUCAUACAACAAUUGUAUUUCGUGACAAAAACUCUAUAGUGUAAACGAGUUUAAAAUUAAAAGAACCUACUUAAACGGUUUCAGCAGCAUAUCCUGUUGCCUGUUGUGUAUUUUUCUUCUCUUUUAUAUUCUUUAUUUGAACACAAACUUGGAAAAUCGUAGUUUCUAAUUAUCUGAGUUGUGCCUCCAUUUUGUUUAUUUAUGUACGCGGCCGGUCGGGG